Cinara cedri is the source of this 445-nucleotide non-coding RNA. The record is from the annotation of a GenBank genome assembly. Lineage: Eukaryota; Metazoa; Arthropoda; Insecta; Hemiptera; Aphididae.
UGUGCGUGUGCGUGUUGUUGUUGUUGUUGUUGUUAGUUGUUUUUUUUUCGCUUCUCACUCCCGUUUUUUUCGUGUCGUUUUUUCUAUUUUUUAUUUAUUUAUUUUUUCUAUCCGUCCGAUUCGCCUCCUCUGUCGCGACAGUUGUUCGCCUCUCCGUCCUUUUACUAUUAUCGUACAGACAGGUACCUAUAACAGUCGUACGCAGACACGGCACAAAUUACAACAACGUGACGACGACGACGUACCGGCUAGGAAUACAACGCAUCGCGGACGACACCUGGUGGCGGCGCUCUGGCGAACGGCGGCGAUUAACCUUAAAGCUCGCCCGGCGGCGCAAGCUCCUCCUCCGGCGGGUUGGCGCGCGCUCGUCUCUGGCGUUUUCUAUAAUAUAUUUAUGCUUUACGUGCGCGUGUAACACAAUACAAGGUACAGCAAUUAUUAUCCC